UAGGGAAUCUUCCGCAAUGGACGAAAGUCUGACGGAGCAACGCCGCGUGAGUGAAGAAGGAUUUCGGUUCGUAAAACUCUGUUGUUAGGGAAGAAAAAAUGUAUAGUAACUAUAUACAAAAGAGACGGUACCUAACCAGAAAGCCACGGCUAACUACGUGCCAGCAGCCGCGGUAAUACGUAGGUGGCAAGCGUUGUCCGGAAUUAUUGGGCGUAAAGCGCGCGCAGGUGGUUUAGAAAGUCUGAUGUGAAAGCCCACGGCUCAACCAUGGAGGGUCAUUGGAAACUAAUAAACUUGAGUGCAGGAGAGAAAAGUGGAAUUCCUAGUGUAGCGGUGAAAUGCGUAGAGAUUAGGAGGAACACCGGUGGCGAAAGCGGCUUUUUGGCCUGCAACUGACACUGAGGCGCGAAAGCGUGGGGAGCAAACAGG
Molecule: ribosomal RNA, 429 nt
Filed under: Verrucomicrobiota bacterium
Lineage: Bacteria; Pseudomonadati; Verrucomicrobiota
Description: Verrucomicrobia bacterium partial 16S ribosomal RNA
Rfam family: Bacterial small subunit ribosomal RNA
Source: RNAcentral